AUUGAACGCUGGCGGCAUGCUUUACACAUGCAAGUCGAACGGCAGCGCGGGCUUCGGCCUGGCGGCGAGUGGCGAACGGGUGAGUAAUGCAUCGGAACGUGCCCAGUAGUGGGGGAUAGCCCGGCGAAAGCCGGAUUAAUACCGCAUACGACCUGAGGGUGAAAGCGGGGGACCGAAAGGCCUCGCGCUAUUGGAGCGGCCGAUGUCGGAUUAGCUAGUUGGUGGGGUAAAGGCUUACCGAGGCGACGAUCCGUAGCUGGUCUGAGAGGACGACCAGCCACACUGGGACUGAGACACGGCCCAGACUCCUACGGGAGGCAGCAGUGGGGAAUUUUGGACAAUGGGGGCAACCCUGAUCCAGCCAUGCCGCGUGAGGGAAGAAGGCCUUCGGGUUGUAAACCGCUUUUGUUCGGGAAGAAAUCCUCUGGGCUAAUACCCCGGGGGGAUGACGGUACCGGAAGAAUAAGCACCGGCUAACUACGUG
RNAcentral lists this ribosomal RNA (484 nucleotides) under uncultured bacterium. RNAcentral describes it as "partial 16S ribosomal RNA". It matches the Rfam family "Bacterial small subunit ribosomal RNA", at positions 28 to 507 of the family's 1533-position model. The record is from RNAcentral.